GGAAAAAAUGGCUGCCGCCAUGAUGGUGCCUUUUCACAUCUUCUGCAAGUUUAUGUGACGACCUGUUUAAAGUUUAACAUUGACACGCGGUGGACUUCAAUGUGUAUGAUCUACUUAUGCUGCCACAAUGUAAAGGCAACAAUCACUGGGUUUUGCUGGUUGCAAGUGUUAUGUCCAGGACUGUAACCAUUUACGACUCGUUGGGUGGUAACAACAAGGCCUUGUUCGAUUUGUUCUGCCAGUUCAUGUGUCAAAGAGCGCAAAUUGUGAAAGAUGGCUUGGAAAAAUUCAGUUCAGAGUUUAAAGCGCCACCUUGCAACAAACAGCGCCAUGGAAACAGCUGUUGAGUGUUUGCAUUGAUGACUGCCAAAUGUUUGGUCAUGAAAAAGCAUCCCACAAUGUUGCGACAGGCCCAUGAUUCAGUUUAUCGAGACUAGUCGUGAGACGCAGACUUCUGAUUCAUGGAGUGCGGCAAACAAAUCUGUGCGACUCGAUCACUCCACUGUAAAGACCUGCACGGCAUUAAAAUGGAUAUUAUCAAUAUGUGUUGUUGCUCGAAAAUAUGUUUUUGUAGCAGGAAGUGCUUUGGGCUCGAUUAAUCUGAGAACUCAACAAAAUAUUAAUAAAAUCCUUCUGUGCCUUUAAGUUCUGAAAACAGAAGUAGCCAGUUGGUAUUACACAUCUCCUAAACAAGUACAGCACAAUAAAACUUAAGGUUUUAUAAUCCUAAAUUUUUAUAACAUCUUUAUAUCCACACAAAAAUAUUGAUGAUUGUGGUGCUCAGAUUGCAAAACCACCUGUUUGGCAAAAAUAAUGCAGAUGGUUAGAUUAUGAUAAGUGUAAGAAAAAAAGAAUAACUCUGGAGAUAAUAAUUGAUAUGAUAAUCAUUGCUUGACAGAAUCACAAUUGACCUAGAUAUUUAUUUAUGUAGUGGUGUAUUUUUCAAUGAGUGCCUUAAGAUUCCAAAAGCAUAUUGACUUAAAAUAAAUAAUCCCUAUGGCGUAAAUGACAUCAUUUCAUGUUCAUGA
This is a long non-coding RNA of Dreissena polymorpha, 1028 nucleotides long. RefSeq lists it as uncharacterized. The transcript is spliced from 4 exons. Lineage: Eukaryota; Metazoa; Mollusca; Bivalvia; Myida; Dreissenidae. The record is from RefSeq and is a predicted model, not a curated record.